This 289-nucleotide transfer-messenger RNA is filed under the name Thiothrix sp. RNAcentral describes it as "partial transfer-messenger RNA". It matches the Rfam family "transfer-messenger RNA", at positions 65 to 374 of the family's 374-position model. Rfam says of the family: Bacterial tmRNA, also known as 10Sa RNA or SsrA, is named for its dual tRNA and mRNA-like properties. Its role is to liberate the mRNA from a stalled ribosome. The record is from RNAcentral. Lineage: Bacteria; Pseudomonadati; Pseudomonadota; Gammaproteobacteria; Thiotrichales; Thiotrichaceae.
CACUUUAAUUCUAGCUGUAAACUAUAGUUGCAAACGACGACAACUACGCUCUAGCCGCUUAAUUGGCUAGCCUCCCCCUUAGUCAGUCUGCGGAUUAAGGCUGGAGGUAACAGUAGCAGAAUCGCCUCUAUUAUUUUUUCGAGAUAAUAGAUCGCUAAAACUCAUCGGAAUCGCCGAUAACUACCCUGACUGUUGGGUACUAUAGGUUAAAUUAAAGACAGAACUAAGCAUGUAGCGCCUUCAAGCAGCGGAUUUUCGGACGCGGGUUCGAUUCCCGCCGUCUCCACCA